CCCACCCCUUUUUAUUUUAUUUUAUUUUUUUUAACUUUGUCAGCACUAAAUAAAUGCUGGGUUUUGGACCACCUGACUUAUUCUACCCCUAAGGUGGAGUCAGAUUAGGGGCCAAGGUGUUCUCUAAACAAUUGAGUCUUCAAUUGUCUUUAAAAAAUAGAAAGGGACUCAGCAGAAUGCACAGAGUUUGGUAAUUUGUUCCACCAUUUGGAAACAACAGAGGAGAAGAGUCUGGCUAGAGAUAUCGAGCUGUGCUGGGCUGGAAGCACCAGGCGUCUCUCACAUGCAGAGCGAAGGGGAGUAGACCUGGAUCAGGGAAUCCAGGUAGGCUGGGGCCGUUCUUGUAAAUGUUUUGUAAGCCAGGAGGAGAGUUUUGAAUUUGAUUCUGGCUGCAACUGGAAGCCAGUGAAGAGAGAUGAACAAGGGAGUGACAUGAGCUCUUUUGGGCUGGUUGAAGACCAGACGUGCUGCUGCAUUCUGGAUCAUCUGUAGAGGUUUGACUGUACAUGCAGGGAGACCUGCCAGAAGAGAGUUGCAGUAGUCAAUGCGUGACAUCACAAGAGCCUGAACCAGAAGUUGUGUGGCCUGUUGGGUCAGGAAGGGUCUGAUCUUCCUGAUGUUGUAGAGGACAUAACGACAAGAUCGAGAAACUGAGGCCACGUGAACCUUAAAGCUGCUGUCCGGAGUUUGAAUCGCAGCGUCUCCCAGAACACUGUUGGUCCCACCCUCCCUCCCUCUGAUUUCGCCCCUUUAUUUGUGCACGCGCGCAGUACAUGAGAGAAGUGCCCCGAGUGCUGCAGCAUCUCGCCUGUUUUGCUGUUUUCCCCUCUUCUACAUUUAGUACAUUUAGUAAAUAAUAAAGGAAUUACGUUAGAAUGCUGUAUUGAGUCUAACUUGUCCUAAUACCAAAAUAACAUGAAUCUGCUAGGACGAACUAGUAAAGUUUCAAUAUGUGAUUACACUCGUGUAUCCCUCUCAAUGACGUUGUUUAUCAAACUUAGUGCAUUUACGCGUGUAUAUGUGUUACAUUGUUUAUUUAUUUCUAUCUAGAGUUCAGAAUUGCAUGACUCCUCUGACGAAGAGUAUGUCCCAGACGCCCCAACAUCUUCCUCCAGAGGUCGGGCAUCUAAACGAAGCCGUCAGGCGGGCUAUGGAGGGCCGUGGUCGGGGAGCGACGCGAGCACCCCGAGCCAAAAAACGUCCUGCAGUCUCUUGGCCUGACAAGCCGUGGGAUUGGUAACUUUUCUGGAAGUUGCUGAGCCCUGAUGCUCUCUCCUCCACAAGCAAAACAAAUGUGUGCGCGGUUGCGUAGUGCAUAGCUCGCCCACCUCUGCAUGGGCUUGCUUGCUGUGCGCGUAACCGUUGAUUGACAGCAUGACAAAGCUGAAGCUCGAACUUGAUUGGUCGGCAGCAACCGGCGCUUUUUGGAAUAACAUGGGGGUCUAUGAGAGGAAGGCGGAGCUCAGGAAUAAAUUUUCAUAUCGCGUUAUUCUAACUUUAUAUUAUAGUAUCGAACUAGACUAACACAUUUAAGCUUUGUUAAAAAAUGAUACAUAGAUUGAAAACAAACGGAAACUCCGGACAGCAGCUUUAAAGGUCAGCUGGUCAUCAAUCAUGACACCCAGGUUUCUGGCUGAGUUAAGCCUCUUAAGCCCAUAUAGCCCUAAUAUGGCUCUGCUGGCCUACUGGAGAAAUUAUUGCAAAAAUAUGGACAAAAAUGCCACAACGUGGUCCAACUGUAUGUGCCCAGAAAAUGAUAGAAUGAAGCCAAAAUGUGCCCUUAAUGCGAUAACAUGUAUCUUAACAUGUCCAGGAAAUUCCAAAAUGAACCAGAAAAAUACCAAAAUGUGCUCUUGGUAUGCCAAUAUAUGCCUGGAAUGUUCAAAAAUGUGUUCAGAUUAUAUAUAAAAAAAUUACCCAAAAAUAAUCCCCCUAGUGUUCCAAAGGAUAGCCCUAAAUAUACCGUAUCCAGAAUAUGCCCAAAUGUAGCUUCAUUUGCCAACAAGUCCUCAAAUUCAUACGACUGCAUCGGUCGUAUGUAACGUGCACCGGAGUACGACCCACGAGAGCAUAUUUAUGUUAGCGCCCCUACAGGGAAAAGGAACGCAUUACGGGAUUUAAUUCGAGAAACGGCUUUUCCCUUGUGAAACGGCUUUUUCCUCACUUUCCCAGCAUGGGUUUAGGGUUAUGGUUAGGGUGAGGGAAAGGGAUAGGGAUAGUGUUAAGAUAAAAGUUUGUGAUGUUUCACCUGCGACACCGGAGUGUCGAUAUUUACUCAACCGCCAGAGGUCGCAUAGUCAAAACGUAACACUCAGUCAUAAUACGGGCGUGUACAGACGACCGAUGUGGUCGUUUUUGGUUUGAGGACAGGCUGCAUUUGCUGAUCAGGGUUUAAGAGGGGAAAGUUUGGUUCAGUCAGGGGAAAAAAAUGUACACAAUGACAUGUAAACAGUUGCCAGGACAAUUCACCCUUGGGUUCAUCUGGUCCCGGUCUACCCUAGUUCCACUGUUUAGAACCUCGAUUAUUCAGAAACUUUGCCCAUGUAGUGUUUGCAGACCGACAUGUUGAUGAUGUACUCUGUAGUAAUUGGAUAUGUUUGCAAAUGGGUGUUAGUAAAUUAAAAAUAAAUAAACAGAACUAAAAGUGAACUUCACAUUGACAUUGAUGAGCAUUCCAACCAGGAACAAAGUAAAAGAUCAUCAAUACAAAAAAAAACUCUUUUUGUUCACCUUUUAAAACACAAAAACACACCGCAGUAGCACCCUAAACUAAAACUACCAAGGGGUUCCCUGUUUUCCUUUCUGAACAAUUCAAAGGUCCCUCCCUAUCUCGCCACACAUGCACCAACCACUGGAACACAUCUCCAAAGUUCUGCUGAAGUUCAGCUUCCCCUCAGAAGAAGUGCCGCCAGAUGAAAGAGCCUUUUGAGAGGCAGCUAGCAUCGUGAUUGUACUUUGGUCUGUUCCAAUCCAGCUUCAGUUCCAGAGACGGCAGGCGGGACGAGUCAACGGAGGCCGAGUGGACGAAGGCAUGCAGCUGAGAACAAUCCAGAAAACAACAGAGGAGGAGUGAAGCUGCCCAGGGCCAGAACAAACAAAGUAGCAUUGUAUGUCUCUUAGAAAACAUCAUAGUAUAUAGCAUUUGGUAUAAAAAAAUGCCACCAUAUACAUCGUAUAUUGUACAAAUAACAAGUCAGAGGAAAGAGACAUACACUGUAGAAUUGUAGUAACUGUGGGCUGAAUGAUUUACUAAUCAGUAUUUCUUUUUUUAACCGAUUUACGGUAAUAAAUCCAUUCAUAAAUGGUGCUACUUUGGCUCUGAACCUUCAUCUACCUGUGGUCGCUCUGUCUUCUGGAGUGAUUUGAUUGUUAUAUGUCACAAAUAAAACUCCUUUAACUUAACAUAUUAACAAAAACAUAUCAACAAAAUUUUCUGUUAGUUUGUGUUCUAAGUUUAACUCCAAGAUUUUAAAUACUUUCAUUUACUGCAAAUGAGUAUCUCCUCCAAAUGUCUCACCAAUAAUCUUUAAUCGGCCUUAAAAACCCACAAAACACCCUUCUAUACUUAACCACACUUAGUACAGUCCGGUUCCCCCUUCUAUAAAUUUGCUUGGAAUCUUCCACUUCCUGUUUGUCAAAGUGGCCUUCUACCUGGACAGGUUUUGUUGGCGCUCAUGCAACAAGCAUUUUGGGUAAGUGCACUUUAAUAUGGAUGGAUGACACUGAAUUAGAGUCUGUUGUAAUGAGACUGAGUCUAAAAACAUCAUAGCUCUGUCAGGCUCAGAAUUCACAGAGAAAAGUCUGAAAUGUUUGCUAGGUUAGUGUCCCACAUGUUUUUUUGGCUCAGCUAAAGCUAACUCUCUCCAACUUCUUGAUCUCUUGAGUUGCUUGGUAAAAUAUCUAGCGAGAGGUGCUGAAGCUCAGAAAGUCUGAGAUGUUUGUUCAAAAUAAGCUCAUUCUCAAGUCUUAUCUGAACUGUCCUCUUUUGUUUGAACUUUCCCUAAACUUAGGAGUUAAUGACAGAGCAGCACAUCCAGAUUCAGUCUCAUUUAUGUAGAGAUUAAUCUUCAGUGUCAUUCAUUGCAGUGUUUCAAAUGUUGGUUUGUCAACCAAACCAGUCCAGGUGGAAGAUGAUGUGAAGAGAAAGCUCCAGAGGAUGAAUAUCACACAUUUACGUUGGAAAUAAAUGUCAUUUAAUUAGACAUUGUCAUGCAAAAGUUGGAUUUCCCUUUAAUGAUGUUCAGAUCUUUGACUGUUUUGUUGAUGUUGGUUUCUAAAUGUUUUUUGACACUCGGCCCCAGAGAUUCAAACUCUUUACGGCUCACAAACUGUAACAAUUCACACAUUAUCAACAAUCUUUCUGACUAAAUUAAGAUAAAAAGGGAAAAACUGCCUGAUUCCUGCAUCAUGAAUGUAUAAUAUUAUAUAAUAAUGUAAUAUAUUUGGGUUUGACAUUUUAUAAACCAAAACAGGAAAUGAAUUACUGGAGAAAACAAUCAACAAAUUAAUGGACAAAGAAAAUGUGUUUUUCAACAUAUAUGGCUGAAUUACUCCAACAUUACAAGAUACAUACAAUUUAAAUUCAGUUUUAUUUAUAUAACACUAAUUACAGGUCAAAUAGUCUCAAGACACUUUAUUUUUUAUAUUUUUUGUCAUAUUUAAAAUAUGAAAAAGUUAUUUGGUUUUUAAGAGAGUAAUCGACGAUUAAAAUAACUUUCUCCACUAAAACUAAUAAACCUGAGUUCAAAUAGAAGGAACAGAUUUAAAUACUGCAGUCGCACGACAACAAUAAUAAAGUUUCUCAACAAAAACUAAAUCUGCUGGUGGAUUCCAUUGAAGUCUAAUAAAUGAAAGUAAUAAAUAUAUAAUAACUUUAUUUAUAAUAACUAAUAAAUAAAAUGUGACACUAAAGGUUUGUGGUGGUAAAAAAAAAAAGUAAAGAUAUCACGCUGAAUAUCUGGAUGGUGGCUGAUAAAAAUUGGCCUCCCUUCAUUUCUCUGGAGCCGACUCCAUAGAUUAUUUACGAAAUGAUUUUAUUUUGUCUGAUCUGUAGUUCAGUGAGUUAAGUGUUGACCUGUGGAGCUGCAGGUUGUGAGUUCAAGACCAGAUCCUUCUUACAUUUUAUCAAAAUCCUGACUGUGAGGGUGCUGGAGAGCAUCCCCCUCACUGCAUUUUGUACAGACUGAUACAAGUUUAUUUAUUUUGUUUUGCGUUGAGGUGACUUCAGUGGGGCGUGUUCCAUGGAGUGCACACAUGAAGAUGCAGCCACAGAAUACCACAGUUGUCACUUACCUGAUUAGAUGGAAUUGAGAGAUCAGAGGAGAGAGGGGAGGGGUUACAGGGGUAUUUUUGAAUAAGUUUGAUCUUUUGUGUUUCUGUGGGUUAUGUGUUUUCUUUCCUUUGUAUCAGACUGUUAAUUGCAUUCAUGUUUUUUUAGUACAAAGGAUAUUUAAUAUUAUAUAUUUUUUAAUAUAAGUGUGGAUAGGUCACUGGUGUGAGAGAAUAUAAGAGCCAGGUGUCAGUGUGGUGUGAGAAGGAGGGUAACCCCUCCUUCUCACACCCAGGGCUGAAGCUUUGCUCUGCUUCAUGCCGUCAUCCACGGCACCUUGUCUAACUGGUGAGCUAUAUUUUGCACAUGGAAACGAAGUAAAAACUGGAGCUCUGGAACAAAACUCCUUGCUGUUUGGCUGCUUUUUUACUGUGCCAUCAUGCUUUCCCCUUUAAUGCCGUUGGGUUUAUCCAAAUUGUAGUGUAUCACCACCAAAAUCCUACAUUUGGCGUCAGACGUGGAUGAGACGCGGCCAAAUUUAAGAAGUAAAGCAUUGUGAGCCAACAGCAUGGGGCCUAAAGUUCAAGCCAAAGUUCCACGGACAGAAGUUGUUGAGGACAGCCAGGAAGAGGGUGUCGCAGGAGAGGUGCCAAUGGUCGUACACCCUGGGGAGAGGCCCCCAGGGCCUGCUGAUAUGGACUCAGUUACUGGCAUGUUGCAGCAAUGUCUUCACUUCCAACGUGACCAAAGUGAAAGAUGGGAAAGAGAAACAGUUAAACAAGACAAAAGGUGUCACCAAAUGCAGAUUCAAGUGUGGGAUGAACUGGAGCAGCAGCAGAGCACAGAAAGCCGACCCCAGCAGAGCACACCACAGCCACUACAGCAGGUAUCCCAGUCCAGUGCCCACACUGAGUUAACGGGUAGGGGCUGGGGGCAAGCAGCAGUUCCCCGACUGGAGGAGGGGGAUGAUAUUGAGCAGUAUCUGGCCACCUUCGAGCGCUUGGUGUGGUAGGAUGUCCCCGCCCAUCUCCACUCAUGUGUAUGUGUGUGCAUUGGAUCAGGUUCGCGCAGCUGGGAGCAAUCGCUGUGAUCCUUGAUUACUGGGCAGUGCAGCACCGAGUCAUAUCUGGGAGAGGGCUGCAUGUCUCACACAUGCAUCUUACCUCUUCCUGGAGCACAGUGUCGUGUCGGCGGUGUGGUUUGGCGUGGCUGUGCUGAAUCCACGGGGCGGUCUUGAGACGCUGUCGAUCGAGCUUUCUCCAUUUAUGUUGUCAGUGUCAACCUGUAUCCUGGUCGAAGGCUGGGAGCUGGGUCUGUGUGUGGCCUCGGAGCUGGGUGUAAUCUACACGCUGUGUUGAACUCCUGAGUUUUGGUGCAGCUCGUCCUUUGGUGCCAUGGAGGAGGAACUGCAACAGCUCAGAGACCUUGUCAUGCAGCUGAAGGCAGAUAAUGGGUGGCUUCAUCAGGAGAGGGAUGCCUCUCAGGCCGGCCCAAGUACUGCCGCCUCGGCCACUUCCGCUCCAGUGAGUAAUGGAGUACUACAGAUACCGGCGCUACGGUAACAGAGUGCUUGGUCGUGGUGCCAAGAGACCGUAGAUAUCCCAUGUUUAAUGGCAAAACUGGCAUCAGUGUAACUGAAUGGGCAGAGGAAGUUCAGGCCUAUAUACGUGCCCGUCGCUUGUCAGCUCUCGAUCAAGCCCUCUUUAUGUUUGAUCAUCUAGAGGGGGAAGCCAGCCAAUAUAACUAACCCAAUAUAAAUUGUAUAAAAUGGGGUUCUCGCACUCAGACACGGGGUGGGCCCCUCAAUGCGCCCAAAACAUGGCUGAUACUUACUUUCACGCUCUUUGACGAUGUACAUCUGUCUAUCAAUUCUGGGCAACAGUCACGCAGAAGCUCUCCAAUAUUUUGGACUGCGGGAUUCCGCAUUCCCCUAACAUUUGGCAAAUUGGUGACCUAACGCUAACAGCCUUACCAGACAUUCAUAUCCAUCCCACACUUGCAGCUAUCGCCAUUGCCAAAAAAAAAUAUUUUAGUUAACUGGAGAGAUAAGAAAGCCUUCAACAUCAUUCAUUGGCUGAAUCUCCUCACAGAACACAUUUCACUUGAGAGAAUAUCUGCUACCCGAAAAAAACAAUUGGACUCAUUUAAAGAGAAAUGGUCUCUAUUUAUUAAAUAUGAAUCUAUAGCUUCUGCUUGUUUGUGAGCAUAUGCCACUUCCCUUAUAAAACUGUGAUACCUGUUUUGUCUGUUCAGAUGUCUAACUAUCCUCUGCUUUAUUUCAGUUUAUUAACCCUCUACUUUUUAAAGAAUGAUGGCACCAUGGACUCCAAGGCCGUGUGCAUGCACUGGUGGUGUCCUUUCCCUAUUGUUCCUGGGGUUGCUCUCUGGCUCUGCGGGGCCUGCGUGGCUAGGGCCCCUCUCCCUGGGGGUGGGUGUCUCCGGUGUCUCUCCCAUUGAGCCCUGGAUCUGCUGGGUCUGCACGCUCUCCUGAGGCCUUGGGGGUGGCGGUGGCUGGUCUCUUCUGGGGCGCCCUGGCUGACAUUGGGAUUUGGGUUCAGCAGCAGAAAGAACAAGAUGCCAGAGCACUGUACCACAUAUUCGUGUUCAAAUCGCCAGACCGUCGAAAACAGGGCACGAGGGAUUACUUUUCACAACCGGAAAAGGGCAGGAGUACAUCUACCUCCAGAAGAGCUGACGAGAGCCUGUCCGUGGCCUCUCAGGAUGAUCCAGAAACUGGAACCUCAGACCCACAACCUCAAUCUAAUGAUUGUCAACCUAUAUCCUGGAAGAAGGCGGGGAGCUGGGUCUGUGUGUGGCCUCGGAACUGAGUGUAAUCUCCAUGCUGUGUUGAGCUUCUGAGGUAGGCUGGCUCGGUUUUGUCUGGCAUUUGUAUGUUUUUCUGCUGAGCUGCACAUGAAGUGACGCUGGUCUCUGCUUGCUGUUGGCAGUGGCCAUGCUGCAUGUUGCUGUGGCUGUCUCCCCUGUUCCCUGAGGAGCUGUCUUCGCUGACAGGCUUUUACUUCAGAGGCACGCUACUGCUGCUCUGUCUAGGAGAUAACUGGCAGGCUCUCGGCUCGUUUAUAAUUAAUUUUUUUGUAAUUGUUUUUUGGUUAUUUUGUUUCGUCUUUUAAACUGUCUUCCUUGGGUGGGCCUGAAGCUGUAUCAGGCAGACUGACCCCGAUUAGUCAACUAAUUAAAAUUCAGUCAAUUAUUUCUGGGUGAUUUUGAUUGGGUUAGUAUUGUUAGUAUUAGCAUUGUUAGUAUUAGUAGUAUUGUUAGUAUUCUUGUUUGUUGACUUUGGGAGCAUUUGUUAUUUUUCCUAUUUCUAUUUAUUGUUUAUUGUUAGAGAUUUUGUGUUAAGUUUUUUUUGAUUCUGUAGAUUUUGUUUGUCCUUUUUUGAGUUUAUGGGGUGGAAUGAGUGUGUGCAGGUUUCAAAUGAGAGCACGAUCAACCUUGGUGAUUAACAGUGUUCUUCUUCAUUUUGGACAGGGACUGUUGGGCCAGGUGCAAGUGGCUGACUGAUCCCCUGUGUACAGGAAGUGAUGGUAUGGUCCCAUCACUUCCUGUACAGCAGUAACUUGGUGUGUCAGUGGUGUUUGGUUUUCUUCACAUAUGGUGUGUAGCGCCAGGACUCUUUCCCCUCCCCUCAGCCUGGUAAGCCCCAGCCCUGUGGCUGGGGUCUGUAGUUCGGAAGCACACUUAACUAAGCCUUGUAGAGCCCUGGACGAUAGCGCAACAUUGUGUCAUUUACCACAUUACUAGAUGGCAUCCCCACCAGGAGAUUUUAACUGAACUGUUGUAGUUUAGUAUUAAUAAAUUCUAUUUUUGUAUAUUUUGGAAUUGCGUCAGUCUCGGGUGUCGUUCUUACCUGUGUGACCUUUUUGACUGCUUGACUGUAGAGUGGUGGCCCCUCUAAAAGAUUUCCUGGGGGUGAAAUUCCCCCAGGUGGCGUUGUCGGACACUUGUUCCAUACAAAGAUAAAUUCAAUCCUCGUAACAUUGCCACAUUGGCAAACAGCAUAUCUGUGGCCAGAGGUUGACUGGGCCGUCAGGCACGUACCAAACGGGGUUAGUGGGUAACUACCUAACGUUAGUUACCCACAGCCCAGGUCGAGCCAGAGAUGCAGGAUUUAGCUGAGGAUUUUGAUGUUAUCCUUGAGAUGCCUUUCUUUGAUGAGGAGCUCACAGAUAGGGCUGUAAAGGAAGUAAAGAAAAAUUCUUACAGAAAAGGCUGGAGAAGAUUGCAGCAACCGUUAGAGCAGGCUAGUGAAGCCAGAGGGUGGUGAAGCUGUUAAAGGUGGUGAUUGUUUUACAACUGCAGGUUUUUUUUUCAACAACCUAAGGCUGCAGCAGGGUCAGGUGGAAGGAGGUUUUUUUCUUGCGAGAUCAGGUGCUGUAUCACAAAGCAGAUCCUGAUGAUAGUGAAAGGCUGGUGGUCCCACAAGGGCUUUGGGAAGAGGUGCUUGAGCUAGCAGGAUAGCAAGCAGAUUUUACUGGCCAGGGUUGAUCACACAGGUUCCUCUUAGAGACAUCACUGAUAAGCAAAUUGCAUAUGCCUUAUUGCACCUUUUAUCCAGAGUUGGUAUUCCAUCUGAAAUUUUGACAGAUCAAGGCACAAAUUUUCUGUCAGGUUUCACCGCAGUUCCACCGUAACAACACAUUUGUUCAUUGUGUACCUAAUACCUACACAGGCAUUAGAGGUAUUCAGACCACUCCCAGACUGAUGGUUUAGUGGAGAGGUACAAUAGAACUCUGAAAAGCAUGUUGAAGAAGUUCAUCUUCACUAAUGCCAAAAACUGGGACAGGUGGCUCCCUUAUCUUCUGUUUGCCUAUAGAGAGGUGCCUCAAGCGUCAAUUGGUUUCUCACCUUUUGAGCUCCUUUAUGACAGACAGGUGAGAGGUCCCCUCGAUGUGCUACAGGAGUCCUGGGGUGGGAUCCCAGGGAAAGAAAAAACAACAUUCUGGCAAAUGUCAAUGGAGAGAGAAGAUGGAGCAGCUGUAAGCUGUAAGUUCCUUACAGAAAAGGCGAGAGAAGAUGGCAGGAAGGAGGAAUACAGAGAAGGCUCAGAGUGGACAGCAAACCUGGUAUGCGGUCAGGGACAGGUCCUUCAGCCCAGGUCAGCAAGUGCUUCUCCUUCUUCCUACAGUUGAGAAUAAAUUAAUGGCAAAAUGGCAGGGUCCUUAUACUGUGCUGAAGAAGCUGAGUUCAACAACUUAUGAGACUGAGAUGCCAGAGAGGAGAAAUCCAGCAUCAAUAUGUUGAAGCAGUGGAAAACCCGGGAAAUUCCACCGCAACAACAGAUGCUUGUUCGGACAGUGGAGGAUGAUGAUGACGUUGUGGGAGAGGUCCUUCCUGCUAGUCGCAACUCUGAAUCCCUUGACCUCUCUCAUCUCUCUCUAACCCAGCAGAAAGACUUGCAAGCUGUAGUGCCAACCGAUUUGUUCCAGGAGAAACCAAAUGGAUACUUUGCUCAAAUAUAUUGUCCCUGCAAUUCCUUCCAUACAAGUCAAAUGAAACAUCAUGUACCGUAAUAUUUAAUAUGUUUCAUGUCAUUCUGAAGAAGAACUUUGUGUGUCAACAUAAAGUGUACUUUAGUCAGUCCCUCCAGGAAUUCACGAUUUUGCGAUCAUGUGAAAUCAACCAAUCUCCGCGAAUUUUGCGUGGCCCAACAAUUUUGUCCAAUCACCGCAACUUUCCCGCAAUUUUGGCCCGCCUCCCGUGAGUUCCACCAAUCAUAGCAGCUCCCAGCGCAAACACACAUACGUCAUCGAAUUCACUUCCUUGUUUAUGGUUUGAAGAUGCAGACAUGUGCGAUACGAAUGUCUCUCAUUUACCGACAAAAAUUACUGCUGAAGACCGUGAUAAACAAUUAAUUCACCGAUGUUCUUCACCAAAGCGGAGCUAAACUGUUUUACAACCGUGCAAUAGUGUGGGGGAAUACAAAAAAAUCAUCGAUUGAUACUUUUUUUAAAACACGAAAUGUAUUAGAACGGCUGAAAUGAGCGGACAACAGACCAGACAAAUCACCAUGAUGGAAACUGUUGCAUCCAGAUCUGUUAGAGCACUGAAAGAAUGAAGGUUAGAUUAAUUAAUCCACCAAAAGACAUGGCGAAGUUAUGUGACCAUUGACGUGUGUGAAUCCUUCCUCUGUUACCAACAUCACUCAAAAAUGGACUCAGAGAUGUGCAUGAAAUUCUCAUGGUUGGUCAGAAAUGACACAAGGGCCAAGUGAUUAGACUUGGGCAGUAAUACGGCUUAAAGUUUGGAUCCACGGAUUUGUUAGGGAUUCAUAGCGGCACGACGUCUGAUAGCGGCACGGUAACCAUGGCAACAAGUGAACGCUACCUCAGCGGCCUGCUGAUGAUCAGGUGAUUGUGAUCCUACAACAAGUCUACCACUGUGGACGUAUCGGAAAUGACUCAAGGAACAACUGAUUAAAUUGUGGGGGUGUUUCUGAGUCCCAUCAAUUCCCGUCGCCCCCUGCAUAAUUAGGUCACUUCAUGUUAAACCAGUAUCUGGCUGCUUCUAAUGUCCCACCGUGGUGUGCCAGCUUUUGUGGAAAUGGGUUGGAACGUUAAAUAAUUAAUUUUGGAAUAAAUAUCGUCAAUUACAGUGUUGAAACAUGUUCUAUAAGCUGGAAAAAAUGCAGCUUUUUAGCAAUUGUCACUUGUCUCCCGCAAUUUCAUGACAACAAAUAAGCUUAAAACAUCGCAACUUUUAUUGCAAUUUUUUAGAAAAGCUGCCGUGAAUUCAGGCAUUUUUGGCCGCAACAAUCACGAAAAACGCCCGCGAAAUCCUGGAGGGACUGUUUAGUGCAGCCUUCAUGAUUUCUACACGUUUCAAAUGCUGUUCCUGAGCUGAAAUGGACACUUUGUUCAAAUAUGUUGUCCCUGCCAUUCCUUCAAACCAGAACAAGUUAAACAUCAUUUGCCUUCACAUUUAUCGCAUUUCAAGUCAUUCCGAAGAAGAUAUUUGUGUGUCAACAUGAAGUUCAUGUUAAUGCAGCCUUCAUGAUUUCUCUGCGCUUCAAAUGCUGGUCCUCAGCUGAAAUGCACAGUUUGGUCAAAUAUGUUAUACAUACAGUUUCUUCAAACCAAGUCAACAGAAGCAUCAUUUACUUUAAAUGCUUCAUUUUUCAUAUUUAUCACAUCUCAAGGCAUUCUGAAGAAGAAAUUUGUUUGGAAAGAUAAUGUGUACUGUGACGAACAGGGCCGUCCGUCACGUAUGUUUGCACAUUGCACAUGACACUUUAUGCAUUCAGUUAGCGUGUUAAUGCACCCAACACUGUGAGAAGCUAAUUGGUAAAUAAUUUGUACACGAUUGUCGGUUUUAAAUAUUUUAUUAACCAAACAGUUUUAUUGAGGUUGGCCGUGGGUCCGGUCCGGUGGCGUCACCUUGGGUGAUGGCGGCGGCCGGGUCUGCGGAGGUGACAGGAUAAUUUAGAUUGGAAUGUACAAUAUUGUGAGAUAAUUUAAAUUGGUGGUUCUCUUAGUGUGGUGUGCAUGCGGUGAAUGUAUUGAGUGUCGUGGAGGUGUGUGUGUGAAUGAGUGGUCUGUGCAGUUAACCUACCGUUUCCUCUUGUGUCCAGGUGCGUCUGGCCAAAAGAGUCCCCAGGGAGCCAGACGCCCAAAAGACUGUUCCGGGCUGAACCAAGGGGAGGGAUACGGAAGGGGUGGCUGCAAUACUUUUAACUUUAUAUUGUGUGUUGGAUUAAGUUUGGUGGGUUUAGUUGGGUUAGUUUGCAUUAGUUAUUUUUUGUUUACUUUAUCCUGGGUUUUGGUUUAUGAUGGAGAGUUUUUAACUUAGGUGGUAACGGCUAAGGAUAAGGUGAUCUACCUCCAGAGUUUUAUUGGUUUAUUCCUGUUGAGCAGACCAGUAUUAGAGGAGGCUGUUCCCCUGAUUCAAAAAAAGAAACGGUUUGUCUGUCUGGUUGUUCUGCGUUCUGCUGCUGGAGAAGCCAUUGCUCCUACCCUCCAACGCACCUGCACUUUUUGCACUUGCACUUUUUGCACUUGCACUUUGAUAUUUUGUAUUUUUGCACAUUUGGAAAAUAAAGAAGGAAAAAAAAGAAAAGAAGUCGACCACUCAAAUGCUGCCUCCGCCUGCCUUUGUACCACUGUUCUUCCACCGCUCGAGCCGCUUGAUCACAUGUACAUUAGUGCAGCCUUCGUGAUUUGUGUAUGCUUCAAAUGAGAUGAAAUGCACAGUUUGGUCAAAUUUGCUGUCCCUACAAUUCCUUCUAUAUACCUCAACAGAAACAUCACUUCCCAUCUUAUUUAUCACAUUUCAAUUCAUUUUGAAGAAGAAAUUUGUUUGAAAACAUAAAGUGUACAUUGGUGCAGCUUUCAUGAUUUCUAUACACUUCAAAUGCUUUUCCUGAGCUGAAAUGCACACUUUGCCCAAAUAUGUUGUCCCUGCAAAUCCGUCCAUCUAGAACACCUUACACAUCAUUUGCCUUCAUAUUUUCAAGUCAUUCUGAAGAAGACAUUUGGGUGUCAACAUGAAGUUCACGUUAAUGCAGCCUUCAUGAUUUCUAUGCGCUUCAAAUGAGAGAAAUGCACAGUCUGGUCAAAUAUGUUGUUCCCAAAAACCAUUUAAAAAUUCAAAAUCAAAGUGGAGUGGCCUUAUCUUUUUAGUGUAUUGAAAAGAUUUGGAUAUGGCCCUAAUUUGUUAAAAUUGAUUAAACUAUUGUAUUCAAACCCUACAGCGGAAAUUUAAACAAAUAAAAAUAUAUCGCAACCAAUUACAAUAAACGGGAUGUCUGCAAGGAUGACCCCAUCACCGUUACUGUUCACUUUAGCUAUCGAACCGUUGGCAAUAGUGGUAUGCACAAACCAAGAAAUAGCUGGAAUGAGGAUAUGUCACAGAGAACAUAAGAUAUCACUCUAUGCAGACGAUGUAAUUCUGUUCAUUUCACAUCUCAGUAAAUUUAUUCCUGCUCUGCUGGGGUUGAUAAUAGCAUUCAGUGACAUUUCAGGAUACACGAUUAACAAUGACAAAUCUUCCAUUCUGCCGCUUGAUUAUAAUGAGAGGGAAAACCUAUCUAGAGAAAUUUCCCAGUUUAAGGUGGUAGAACAGUUCACCUAUCUGGGGAUAGAAAUUACCUCCAGCUUAGCCUCAAUUACUAAGGUAAAUUAUAAACCCCUACUGGAAGAAAUCACUGAACUAAUUAAUAGAUGGAUGCCACUGCCGUUGUCAUCGAUUGGCAGAAACAACGUGAUCAAAAUGUCCAUUCUCCCAAAGAUAUUGUACAUAUUUACAUGUUUAAAGUGCCCAAAUAUAACUUUGUAUUACUGGGCAGCACAAUUGCGGUCUAUUAAAUUCUAUUUUGCAACAAAAGAUGUCCCACAGUGGAAAGAAAUGGAGUCAGAAUGUUUAAAUUUACCUUUGCCCUCAAAUUUAUAUUCGGACACAUUAAGAAAUCUAAUGAAACGAACUGCCAAUCCAAUUGUUAAAAACAUGGUUAAAUUCUGGUUUGAAGUGAUGAAAUUCAUUAAAGCUGCUGUCCGGAGUUUCCGUUUGUUUUCAAUUUAUGUAUCAUUUUUUAACAAAGCUUAAAUGUGUUAGUCUAGUUCGAUGCUAUAAUAUAAAGUUAGUAUAACGUGAUAUGAAAAUUUAUUCCUGAGCUCCGCCUUCCUCUCAUAGACCCCCAUGUUAUUCCAAAAAGCGCCGGUUGCUGCCGACCAAUCAAGUUCGAGCUUCAGCUUUGUCAUGCUGUCAAUCAACGGUUACGAACACAGC
Molecule: RNA transcript, 15010 nt
Organism: Acanthochromis polyacanthus (spiny chromis)
Lineage: Eukaryota; Metazoa; Chordata; Actinopteri; Pomacentridae
Gene: uts2r1
Gene name: urotensin-2 receptor
Exons: 6
Source: RefSeq, a predicted model, not a curated record